UCACAUGCCUCACUGGCUGAUGGCAUCAGGCAAGGCCCAAGAGGACUCUCAGGGAAGGAGGCACUUUGCUGACCUGGCCUGGGCUGGCUCUUCUCUUUCCAGAAUGUGAUGUUCUGGAAAACCUGUUCAAGUUUUCUUCAUGCUGUGUCUGUGUCACUUUCUUGGUGAAACAAGAACUUACCACCAGCGAUCUUCACAGAACGUAAAACUCCAGCCCUGACUUUGUUACUGCUUUCUCUCUGAGCUUUAAUUCUGAAUCUUUGGUGGGAGUCGCCUGUUCUCUGUGACCGUCUGCGUUACAAAACCGCUAUUAGGCCACUGUUGGAAACUGGUGCUGGAAAAGGAGGCCUGAAACAUGGGCCUUAUUCUUUCAAGGAAUUUAAGCUCCUGGAAUUCAUCUGGACGUUCACUGCAGAUUAAGUCACGGGGAGGCUGAACUGGAACAAACAGAAAGUAAGAUGGAAACUGGGAUUUUUUGUUGGCCUCCAGAGACCAAACCGGUUCAGGGCAUUAGCUAGCUCAGAGAUUUGGGGUUGAAGCAGGAGACCACCCGGAAAACUGCAGAGUCUGGCAGGAUCCCAGGGAUUACAGGCAAUGAUUAAUGAAACCUGCCUGGCAGAGCUGGCACAGUUCGGAGCAGGGUGUGGGCAUCGGACGUGAUACAACAUGAUGUGGAAGCAGCAGAUGUUGACAUGAUCAGAUGCUGUCCCUAUGAUCCUACUGCCUGUGCCGUGUAUCCCCCCAGCCCCAGGUUAGUGCUCCCGUGCCACCUCCCGCUGCCUGGGAGGGCUGCAUUGCACCAUCCUCCAGCAGCUCUGUGCACUUGUGCCCUCCUCCUCUUCCCACAGCCUGAUUUAUUGGCUUUAUCUUUCCCUUUUACAGCCGCCCUUUGCUGCACCUGAUUGCAGUGACCUCCGGUCCCCGCAUAGCUCGCAUUCCUCAGGGGAGGGCUGCAGGCUAUGGAAGGGCUUUCUCCUUCCCAGAACCCCUCCAGAAGAGAUCAGUGUGUCCCUCAGCCACAUUAGUUGACACUGCAACCUAGCCCUACACUGUCUGUAACCUGCUGAUGGUGGCUCUGAUCAUGAUCAUGGCCUGCCAUAGAAACACG
RNAcentral lists this long non-coding RNA (1108 nucleotides) under Anas platyrhynchos (mallard). RNAcentral's name for it is "lncRNA (ENSAPLG00020017860.1)". Lineage: Eukaryota; Metazoa; Chordata; Aves; Anseriformes; Anatidae. The record is from RNAcentral.